Molecule: transfer RNA, 68 nt
Filed under: Tenthredo tienmushana
Lineage: Eukaryota; Metazoa; Arthropoda; Insecta; Hymenoptera; Tenthredinidae
Description: tRNA-Leu
Source: RNAcentral
ACUAUUUUGGCAGAAUAUUGCAAUAAAUUUAGAAUUUAUUUAAAUAUAAUUAAAUUAUAUAAUUAGUA